RNAcentral lists this ribosomal RNA (775 nucleotides) under uncultured Neocallimastigales. Its description in RNAcentral is "partial large subunit ribosomal RNA". It matches the Rfam family "Eukaryotic large subunit ribosomal RNA", at positions 24 to 649 of the family's 3401-position model. Lineage: Eukaryota; Fungi; Neocallimastigomycota; Neocallimastigomycetes; Neocallimastigales. The record is from RNAcentral.
UACGACUACAUAUCAGGCAUAUCAAUAAGCGGAGGAAAAGAAACUAACAAGGAUUCCCUUAGUAACGGCGAGUGAAGCGGGAAGAGCUCAAAUUUGAAAUCUUCAAGGUUCUACCUUGACGAAUUGUAGUUUAAAGAAGUGUUUUCUGUUAGAUGAGUAGCAAAAGUUCCUUGGAAUGGGACAUCAUAGAGGGUGAGAAUCCCGUAUUUGGUUAUUCAUUCUAGCUUUGUGAUACACUUUCAAAGAGUCGGAUUGUUUGGGAAUGCAGUCCAAAAUGGGUGGUAAAUUUCAUCUAAAGCUAAAUAUUGGCGAGAGACCGAUAGCGAACAAGUACCGUGAGGGAAAGAUGAAAAGAACUUUGAAAAGAGAGUUAAACAGUACGUGAAAUUGUCAAAAGGGAAGCGUUUGACACCAGUGUUGUUUAGUUGAAAAUCAAUUCAAUAGUUUUUGAUUCUAAGUAGUAUUGACUUCAUCAGCUUGCUGCUUUCUUCCUCAGAAAUUAUUGAAUGCACUUUUCAGUUAACAAGUCAACAUCAAUUUCUUUUGUUGUAAAAGGGUAAGAGGAAGGUGGCUUGCGCUUCGGCUCAAGUGUUUAUAGCCUUUUAUCUCUGCAAUCGGAGAGAUUGAGGUCUGCAGCGUAGAUCCUUCGGGGUUAGAUACAUUGGUGCUAAGCUAUAGCCUUGUAUAGACAACUUGUUGACUAUGCUCAGUCAUGUAGCUUACUCGCUGAUGCUAUUUUACCUACGCUUAGGAUGUUGAGUAGCGACAUACGCAC